GAUGAAGAACGUAGCGAAAUGCGAUAAGUAAUGUGAAUUGCAGAAUUCAGUGAAUCAUCGAAUCUUUGAACGCACAUUGCGCCCCUUGGUAUUCCGAGGGGCAUGCCUGUUCGAGCGUCAUUAUAACCCCUCAAGCUCAGCUUGGUGUUGGGGCCUGCUGCACUGGCAGCCCUUAAAAUCAGUGGCGGCGCCAUCUGGCUCUAAGCGUAGUAAUUCUUCUCGCUAUGGAGUCCUGGUGGAUGCUUGCCAUCAACCCUCAAUUUUUCUAUGGUUGACCUCGGAUCAGGUAGGGAUACCCGCUGAACUUAAGCAUAUCAAUAAGCGGAGGA
RNAcentral lists this unclassified non-coding RNA (329 nucleotides) under soil metagenome. Its description in RNAcentral is "partial contains 5.8S ribosomal RNA, internal transcribed spacer 2, and large subunit ribosomal RNA". The stretch from base 1 to 120 matches the Rfam family "5.8S ribosomal RNA", at positions 35 to 154 of the family's 154-position model. The record is from RNAcentral.